AGAGUUUGAUCAUGGCUCAGAUUGAACGCUGGCGGCAGGCCUAACACAUGCAAGUCGAGCGGUAGAGAGAAGCUUGCUUCUCUUGAGAGCGGCGGACGGGUGAGUAAUGCCUAGGAAUCUGCCUGGUAGUGGGGGAUAACGUUCGGAAACGGACGCUAAUACCGCAUACGUCCUACGGGAGAAAGCAGGGGACCUUCGGGCCUUGCGCUAUCAGAUGAGCCUAGGUCGGAUUAGCUAGUUGGUGGGGUAAUGGCUCACCAAGGCGACGAUCCGUAACUGGUCUGAGAGGAUGAUCAGUCACACUGGAACUGAGACACGGUCCAGACUCCUACGGGAGGCAGCAGUGGGGAAUAUUGGACAAUGGGCGAAAGCCUGAUCCAGCCAUGCCGCGUGUGUGAAGAAGGUCUUCGGAUUGUAAAGCACUUUAAGUUGGGAGGAAGGGUUGUAGAUUAAUACUCUGCAAUUUUGACGUUACCGACAGAAUAAGCACCGGCUAACUCUGUGCCAGCAGCCGCGGUAAUACAGAGGGUGCAAGCGUUAAUCGGAAUUACUGGGCGUAAAGCGCGCGUAGGUGGUUUGUUAAGUUGGAUGUGAAAUCCCCGGGCUCAACCUGGGAACUGCAUUCAAAACUGACUGACUAGAGUAUGGUAGAGGGUGGUGGAAUUUCCUGUGUAGCGGUGAAAUGCGUAGAUAUAGGAAGGAACACCAGUGGCGAAGGCGACCACCUGGACUAAUACUGACACUGAGGUGCGAAAGCGUGGGGAGCAAACAGGAUUAGAUACCCUGGUAGUCCACGCCGUAAACGAUGUCAACUAGCCGUUGGAAGCCUUGAGCUUUUAGUG
Molecule: ribosomal RNA, 842 nt
Filed under: uncultured sediment bacterium
Lineage: Bacteria
Description: bacterial SSU rRNA
Rfam family: Bacterial small subunit ribosomal RNA
Source: RNAcentral